This 65-nucleotide transfer RNA is filed under the name Percopsis transmontana (sand roller). RNAcentral's name for it is "tRNA-Cys". Lineage: Eukaryota; Metazoa; Chordata; Actinopteri; Percopsiformes; Percopsidae. The record is from RNAcentral.
AGCCUCGGGGUGUUACACGUUGGGUUGCAAACCCGAAGAUGCGGGCUAACUGCCUGCCAGGGCUU